This 322-nucleotide ribosomal RNA is filed under the name uncultured eukaryote. RNAcentral's name for it is "partial 18S ribosomal RNA". It matches the Rfam family "Eukaryotic small subunit ribosomal RNA", at positions 1470 to 1796 of the family's 1831-position model. The record is from RNAcentral.
CCCUUAGAUGUUCUGGGCCGCACGCGCGCUACACUGAUGCAUUCAACGAGUCUAAAACCUGGUCUGAUAGGGCUGGGUAAUCUUUUGAAAGUGCAUCGUGAUUGGGAUAGAUGAUUGCAAUUCUUCAUCUUCAACGAGGAAUGCCUAGUAAACGCAAGUCAUCAGCUUGCAUUGAUUACGUCCCUGCCCUUUGUACACACCGCCCGUCGCACCUACCGAUUGAAUGGUCCGGUGAAAUCUCGGGACGGCGGCUUGGUCGCUUGCGUCCGACUGCUGAAACUUGAUUAAACCAUAUCAUUUAGAGGAAGGUGAAGUCGUANCA